CAUAUGCUUGUCUCAAAGAUUAAGCCAUGCAUGUCUAAGAAUAAGUCCUUUUGAAUGACGAAUCUGCGAAUGGCUCAUUAAAUCAGUUAUUGUUUAUUUGAUGUGUGUAAAAAUGUAAAUUUUUACACUUUUACUGCUGGAUAACCGUAGUAAUUCUAGAGCUAAUACAUGUUAAUUAUAAAGCCUUUAGACGGAAAGAAAUUUAUUUCUUUUUGUUUUAGAGGUGGCAUUUAUUAGAUUCAAAACCAAUCGUGAUUUUAUCACUUUUUGUGAUAAAAUUAUCUCGAAUGGUGAUUCAUAGUAACUAAGCAAAUCGAAAGAUACUUAAGUUGGGUCAAACCUUCUUAAGUUUUCGAUGCUUCAUUCAAAUUUCUGCCCUAUCAGCUUUCGAUGGUAGGAUAUUGGCCUACCAUGGCGAUAACGGGUAACGGGGAAUCAGGGUUCGAUUCCGGAGAGGGAGCUUGAGAAAUGGCUACCACAUCCAAGGAUGGCAGCAGGCGCGCAAAUUACCCAAUCCCAAUACGGGGAGGUAGUGACAAUAAAUAACAAUGUUGGAAUAUUUUAAAAAUUCUAACAAUUGGAAUGAGAGUAAUUUAGACCUCUUCUCGAGGAACCAUUGGAGGGCAAGUCUGGUGCCAGCAGCCGCGGUAAUUCCAGCUCCAAUAGCGUAUGUUAAAGUUGUUGCAGUUAAAAAGCUCGUAGUCCAAACUGCAAAGUUUUAUGGAAAUGGUAUCUCUCCCUUAUAUGUGUUUUGAUUAUUUAACUUGUUAAAUUAUUUUCUUUGAAAAUAUUUUUAUUCAAGUUCUAUAAUCCCAUAUUUGAGUCAGAUAUCCCAACUUUGCUUGUACUUUGGAGGACUUUUUACUUUUCUUUUGUAACUUCGGUUUCAAAAAAUAAGUAAAAAUGGAUUCCAAUUGUUUACUUUGAGAAAACUAGAGUGUUCAAAGCAAGCGAAAUUAAAAUUUCUCUCGCAACUGAAUACAUUAGCAUGGGAUAAUAAAAUAGGACAUUUAUGGAGAAGAAGCUCGGAAAUGUUAAACAAGUCUUAGGACUUUUUAACCUCUUUCUCUUCUUCUUCUUGGUCCUAUUAUGUUUUUGAUUGGUGGUUCAAGGACCAAUGUAAUGAUUAAUAGGAACGGUUGGGGACAUUCAUAUUGCAUGGCUAGAGGUGAAAUUCUUGGAUUCAUGCAAGAUGAACUGCUGCGAAAGCGUUUGUCAAAGACGUUUUCAUUGAUCAAGAACGAAAGUUAGGGGAGCAAAGACGAUCAGAUACCGUCGUAGUCCUAACUAUAAACGAUGCCGACUAGGGAUCGGUGGGCGUUAAUAUAAAAUUGUAUUACUUUUAUUAACAACUUCUUUAAGUUUUUUACUUAAAGAUUUGUUAAUAAAGUUUUACAAGAAAUGACCCCAUCGGCACCUCAAUUUGAUACUUCUCAAUGGGAAACCAAAGUUUUUGGGUUCCGGGGGGAGUAUGGUCGCAAGGCUGAAACUUAAAGGAAUUGACGGAAGGGCACCACCAGGAGUGGAGUUGCGGCUAAUUUGACUCACCACGGGAAGACUCACCAGGCCCAGACAUGGUAAGGAUUGACAGAUUGAGAGCUCUUUCUUGAUUCCAUGAAAGGUGGCGCAUGGCCGUUCUUAGUUGGUGGAGUGAUUUGUCUGGUUAAUUCCGUUAACGAACGAGACCUUGGCCUGCUAACUAGGGGGGGUUAUCGUUUGAAUAAGUAAGAUGGAGUUGAAUGAUAAUUGAUUAAAGUAAUUUAAUCUUUGUCUUUUAACUGUUAUCUCUUAUUCAUAUUUUGCGAUAGCACCUAAGAUUUAAAAAAUCUUUCAAUCCUUUUCUUGGGUUUUAGAGUUUUAAAGUCCUUUAUUUGAAAGAAUUUAUUCUUUCUUAUAAAUGACCUCUUUUACUUCGGGAAAGGGAGAAAUCCUUCUUAGAGGGACUAUCUGCGUUUUUAUAACUAGCAGAUGGAAGCUCGAGGCAAUAACAGGUCUGUGAUGCCCUUAGAUGUCCUGGGCUGCACGCGUACUACACUGACGAAUUCAACAAGUGAUUAAAAUUUAAUAAGGUAUUACUUGAGUUUCCUUUCGGGGAAAUUAAAAGGAUAUUUUAUUAAAAACCUUGGCAGAAAUGUCUGGGUAAUCUCUUUAAAGUUCGUCGUGCUAGGGAUAGAUGAUUGUAAUUAUUCGUCUUCAACGAGGAAAUCCUAGUAAGUGUG
This 2219-nucleotide ribosomal RNA is filed under the name Acanthocystis sp. Hinksey Lake. RNAcentral's name for it is "partial 18S ribosomal RNA". It matches the Rfam family "Eukaryotic small subunit ribosomal RNA", at positions 25 to 1625 of the family's 1831-position model. The record is from RNAcentral. Lineage: Eukaryota; Centroplasthelida; Acanthocystida; Acanthocystidae.